CUUGACACAGAAUCCUGUGGAAAAAUUGUCCUGAGAAACAAGAACCUGGGGCUGGAACAAUACAGGUUUCUGUUACAAACUAUUACUAAUUCUGGCAUUGGCGAAGAAACUUAUGGCCCGAAAAAUAUCAUUGAAGGCAAAGAAGAUUCUCCUUCUCUCGAGGAUGCCUUGUCUGAAAUUGAUGAUAUCAUGUUCAGCACACUCGACAAGCUUUUUGAG
Molecule: unclassified non-coding RNA, 219 nt
Filed under: Hevea brasiliensis (rubber tree)
Lineage: Eukaryota; Viridiplantae; Streptophyta; Magnoliopsida; Malpighiales; Euphorbiaceae
Source: RNAcentral